AAUAUUUUAUAUUAAGCUGCUAACUUAAUCCUAGUGGUUAAUCCCAUUAAUAUUC
Molecule: transfer RNA, 55 nt
Filed under: Euploea midamus
Lineage: Eukaryota; Metazoa; Arthropoda; Insecta; Lepidoptera; Nymphalidae
Description: tRNA-Ser
Source: RNAcentral